Molecule: ribosomal RNA, 498 nt
Filed under: uncultured bacterium
Lineage: Bacteria
Description: partial 16S ribosomal RNA
Rfam family: Bacterial small subunit ribosomal RNA
Source: RNAcentral
GACGAACGCUGGCGGCAUGCCUAAUACAUGCAAGUUGAACGAUGAUAUUCUCUGCUUGCAGAGAAUUGAAGAGUAGCGAACGGGUGAGUAACACGUGGGGAACCUGCCCAUGAGAGGGGGAUAACAUUCGGAAACGGAUGCUAAUACCGCAUAAUGCUUUGGACCGCCUGGUGCAGAGACGAAAGACGGCUUUUGCUGUCACUCAUGGAUGGCCCCGCGCCGUAUUAGCUAGUUGGUGAGGUAAUGGCUCACCAAAGCUGUGAUACGUAGCCGACCUGAGAGGGUGAUCGGCCACACUGGGACUGAGACACGGCCCAGACUCCUACGGGAGGCAGCAGUAGGGAAUCUUCCACAAUGGGCGAAAGCCUGAUGGAGCAAUGCCGCGUGAAUGAAGAAGGUCUUCGGAUCGUAAAGUUCUGUUAUUAGAGAAGAACAAGUCAAGGAGUAACUGUCUUGACUUUGACGGUACCUAACCAGAAAGUCACGGCUAACUACGUG